This 301-nucleotide ribosomal RNA is filed under the name uncultured bacterium. RNAcentral describes it as "partial 16S ribosomal RNA". It matches the Rfam family "Bacterial small subunit ribosomal RNA", at positions 509 to 809 of the family's 1533-position model. The record is from RNAcentral.
CAGUCGCCGCGGGAACACAGAGGGUGCGAGCGUUAAUCGGAUUUACUGGGCGUAAAGCGUGCGUAGGCGGCUUCUUAAGUCGGAUGUGAAAUCCCUGAGCUUAACUUAGGAAUUGCAUUCGAUACUGGGAAGCUAGAGUAUGGGAGAGGAUGGUAGAAUUCCAGGUGUAGCGGUGAAAUGCGUAGAGAUCUGGAGGAAUACCGAUGGCGAAGGCAGCCAUCUGGCCUAAUACUGACGCUGAGGUACGAAAGCAUGGGGAGCAAACAGGAUUAGAUACCCCCGUAGUCCCUGUCUCUUAUAA